AUUGAACGCUGGCGGCAGGCCUAACACAUGCAAGUCGAACGAGUGGCGGACGGGUGAGUAAUGUCUGGGAAACUGCCUGAUGGAGGGGGAUAACUACUGGAAACGGUAGCUAAUACCGCAUACCAUCGGAUGUGCCCAGAUGGGAUUAGCUAGUAGGUGGGGUAACGGCUCCCCUAGGCGACGAUCCCUAGCUGGUCUGAGAGGCUGACCCGUCACGCUGGAACUGAGAUACGGUCCAGACUCCUACGGUAGGCAGCAGUGGGGAAUAUUGCACAAUGGGCGCCAGCCUGAUGCAGCCAUGCCGCGUGUAUUAAGAAGGCCUUCGGGUUGUAAAGUACUUUCAGCGGGGAGGCGUUACCCGCAGAAGAAGCACCGGCUAACUCCGUGCCAGCAGCCGCGGUAAUUC
This 406-nucleotide ribosomal RNA is filed under the name uncultured bacterium. Its description in RNAcentral is "partial 16S ribosomal RNA". It matches the Rfam family "Bacterial small subunit ribosomal RNA", at positions 30 to 526 of the family's 1533-position model. The record is from RNAcentral.